GAUGAACGCUGGCGGCGUGCCUAAUACAUGCAAGUCGAGCGAACGGACGAGAAGCUUGCUUCUCUGAUGUUAGCGGCGGACGGGUGAGUAACACGUGGAUAACCUACCUAUAAGACUGGGAUAACUUCGGGAAACCGGAGCUAAUACCGGAUAAUAUUUUGAACCGCAUGGUUCAAAAGUGAAAGACGGUCUUGCUGUCACUUAUAGAUGGAUCCGCGCUGCAUUAGCUAGUUGGUAAGGUAACGGCUUACCAAGGCAACGAUGCAUAGCCGACCUGAGAGGGUGAUCGGCCACACUGGAGCUGAGACACGGUCCAGACUCCUACGGGAGGCAGCAGAAGGGAAUCUUCCGCAAUGGGCGAAAGCCUGACGGAGCAACGCCGCGUGAGUGAUGAAGGUCUUCGGAUCGUAAAACUCUGUUAUUAGGGAAGAACAUAUGUGUAAGUAACUGUGCACAUCUUGACGGUACCUAAUCAGAAAGCCACGGCUAACUACGUG
Molecule: ribosomal RNA, 497 nt
Filed under: uncultured bacterium
Lineage: Bacteria
Description: partial 16S ribosomal RNA
Rfam family: Bacterial small subunit ribosomal RNA
Source: RNAcentral